UCCCACAGAAAUCCUAUUGGCUUGCCAUUGCUUUUGUCCCUUUUACAGUUAAGAAAACUGAGAUACGUCAUGGCUUAGCCUCUGGUCUA
Molecule: microRNA precursor, 89 nt
Filed under: Cricetulus griseus (Chinese hamster)
Lineage: Eukaryota; Metazoa; Chordata; Mammalia; Rodentia; Cricetidae
Description: mir-640
Source: RNAcentral